CAGUAGCCGCGGGAAUACGAAGGGUGCAAGCGUUAAUCGGAAUUACUGGGCGUAAAGGGAGCGUAGGCGGCGUGGUAAGUCAGAUGUGAAAUCCCGGGGCUCAACCCCGGAACUGCAUCCGAUACUGCCAUGCUUGAGGGUUGGAGAGGUAGCUGGAAUUCUCGGUGUAGCAGUGAAAUGCGUGGAUAUCGAGAGGAACACUCGUGGCGAAGGCGAGCUACUGGACAACAUCUGACGCUGAGGCUCGAAGGCUAGGGUAGCGAAAGGGAUUAGAUACCCCUGUAGUCCCUGUCUCUUAUAC
This 301-nucleotide ribosomal RNA is filed under the name uncultured bacterium. Its description in RNAcentral is "partial 16S ribosomal RNA". It matches the Rfam family "Bacterial small subunit ribosomal RNA", at positions 509 to 807 of the family's 1533-position model. The record is from RNAcentral.